Molecule: microRNA precursor, 81 nt
Filed under: Gorilla gorilla gorilla (western lowland gorilla)
Lineage: Eukaryota; Metazoa; Chordata; Mammalia; Primates; Hominidae
Description: miRNA (ENSGGOG00000031344.2)
Source: RNAcentral
UAUUAGGUUGGUGCAAAAGUAAUUGCAGUUUUUGCCAUUACUUUUAAAGGCACAAAACCCAAUUACUUUUGCAUCAACCUA